UUAUAUAUAUGAGGUUAAGAGUUCCUUGUAAUUAAUGCAUGAUUUUAUAUAAGUUAAUAAUAGUCAUAUGUUUGCCGUUUCAUUUAUGGAAAAUUGCACAAAUCUCUUCUAAGAUUUCUACUUAUAAUAACUCUAUAUUUAUUUUUGGAAAAUAACUUUAAAUGUUAUGUUAAAGUGAGAAAUAUUAAUUAAAUAUAUAAGUUAGUGAUGUUCUUUAAUGAAGUAAAUUAGCUUGAUGAGAAAAUUGAUUUUAUUUUUAAUAGUCAAGACUCUAAUAUUUAUUUAUAUUAGUGAAAAUAGAGAGAAUAAUAACUAUACAAAUAUAUUUCGAUGUAGAAAGCAAUAAAUAACUAAUUUAAUUAUGGUCAAUUUUUUACAUAUUGUAUUUAUUCAGAUUUUAAACUAAAAUUUAUGUAAUACUCCAUUAGUAUCAAUCAGAAUUUGUUUAUUUAUAUAGACAAUAGAGAAUGACCUUGUCGUUUACAUUAGUUGACGCUCAUUCUAAAAAUAGUUGUUUUAAUUUAAUUUUCCAAAUUAUGAAAUCAAAAGAAUUUUUAAAUAUUUUUUUAUUUCUAUACUUAAUAUUAAAUAGGAAAAGGACAUAAAUUUUCUUCUGAACUUGUCUCAAAAAGUCACUUACACGCUUAAACGAUCAUGAUGAUCUAGUAAACAUCUUUACUAUUCAAAAGUAAAUUUAAUACCAAUCUAAGACGUGUAACACCAUUCUCAUAGGAUAUAUGUGAUAUAGUACACUCGACACAUCUCACAAAAAAUUUUUGAUUAGAAGUAUAUUUUACUUAUUAACUAAUCUUAUUAAUAAUUUUUUGAAACUCUAAAUUUGAGUACUGCCAAAAAAACAUAAUUUGGUAAACUUGACGAGUAAUGAAACACCUCUUUUUUUGUAUACAAGUAAAGUACAAUAAAAAGAAUCAUAAGGACAAUAGAAAUAUUAAGACGUUUUAAAGACCACUUACAAUAAGUUAGCAUAUUUCGAUAAAUGAGUAUUCUUUGGGCUUAAUGGAGAUCUAUAAACAUACAUUAGUUAAUAUGAAUUAUAAUUACAUGUUACCGAGAGUAGAGAUUGGAGAGAAAUGAGCGAGAUAUGGAAAGAGAGUGGAGAGGGAGGUUGAAUUCCUUUUGUAUUUGUUGUAUCAGAUUGUAUCACGAAUACAAUCGAUACAACUGAUUUAUAUCAAAAUGAAUAUAAUUAUAUUCAUUUUAGAAGGAGAGAGACGAGAGAGCAUGAAUACAUAUUAUAUCCGUUGUAAAACAAAUAUAAAUAUGUUCUUCUUCUACUUGUAAGGUUGAUGGGGAGUAUAGUUUUACAUUGUGGGCAAUGAAAGACAAAGGAAUGUUGGACUUAAAUAUUUAAAAUAAAAUUGGCCAUUGAUUUAAGUGUCACGAUGUAAUACGUGAUUCGUUCAAAACAUCCAAAGGGAGAUUUUGGUUAUGGUGUGAUUCAUUUGUUAAACGUGGUGACAAGAUUAAUAUAAUUUCUUACAACGAGAGUUUGAUCGAUCCAAACACACUUUUUUAAUAUUUGGUUGAGUCGUUUUUAAGUUCUAUGAGUUUUUGAUCAAAAUGAGCUAUUUUUAAAACCAAUUCACCAAAAUAAUACGUUUUUAAUUUUUUUUCACAAAACUAGUAUAAACGUACUUCAUGGUAACGUUUUAGGAUAUUUUCAUUAUAAAAAUUCAACAGAUAAAAAGUUAACGGAUUGACGACGUUAAACGCAUAAACGUAACUUUGAGUAACGUUUUAGGUGUAAAACGUUACUCAAGAGUACGUUUUUGGAGAAUCCAAUCACGGGCCACUAACUCCAAUCCUGCAAAGGCGGAGUCAAAUCAUUCAACUGUAAAACGUUACUAUAAGUAACGUUUUACACCUAAAAUGUUACUUUCAGACCCGUUUCUUAAGAAUCCAAUCACGGGCCUUCGACUUCUGCAAAUUUAGAAUAUAUUUAGCUAUAAAACGUUACUCACAGUGACGUUAUACCUUAAAAACGUUGCUGUGAAUUACAACACUCUGUUAAAGUCACAUUCCUCCAUUUUUCAAACUGACCAAAGUGACUAUAAAUAAAUGUUGUUGUAAUAUUUUGCAUGUACAAAUAUAAUUAAGCAAAAUUUUUCCUUGUGUGGUCUAUUUAAAAAUAAUAUUCACAAAAUUUCAUCAGGUAUGAAUUAAAUAAGUGAAGUUUAUUCUUUUUUAUGUUCUUAUUAUAGCUUUAAAAUUAUCUUUCUAAUUUAAUAAUAUUAUUUUAAAAAAUAUUUUAUCUUUAUGUGUAUGAUUAAGAUGACGAGCUUUGAACAUAAUGUGAUGGUUGCUUUGUAUUGGGGUGGAGAAAUAAUUACGGAUAUGAACGGAUUUAGGUAUACUGAAUGUGCUAGAACGAUUAUUAGCAUGUCGACUUCAACUACCUAUGUUGAAUUGGUUGGAUUGUUGCAUGAGAAAAUGGGAACAUAUAGUGAAAAUAUUCAUAUGGAUAUUUCUGGAAAAUAUCCAUGUUCAAUUCAAGGUAUCAAUACAAGGUUCAUUGAGUUUAAAAUUGAGAAUGACCAAUCUUUGUUACAAUUUCUUUUCAUACCUCAAAAAUUUGCGGAUAAGAUUGAUAUAAAUGUUUUGGAGAUGUAUGUAAGGACUGUAUCGACAGAUCAAAAUGUUGCAUUUCAAGUUAGUGGUCAUCAUGAUUAUCACAUGAAUUUGUUGGCUCAAAAUUAUGGACCACGAUCAAUCAACCUCAUUUUGUAGAACCGAUUGUUCAACCACCAUUUCAACAAUUGUUGAUGCAUGAUCAUCGAUCAUUUUGUGAAGACUCAAGUAGUUAAAUGCAUAUUGAUAAUAGUCACAUGGAAUAUGAGGCUAGGUAAACAACAAAUCUUUAUUUUAUUAAAUUUUAGUCUAACAAUUUAAUAAGAUAAUUUUUAUUGUCAGUAUACACAAAUUAUCUCUUAUAAAUAGAAGAAAUAAUAUUUUAGAAUAUUUAUUAUCGCUUUUAAAACAAGAUUGUAUAUUUAUAAUUUUGCUAGAAUUUGACGAAUAUUUUUUUACAGAAAUAUUGAUAUCAACGUUGAUCUAUAUAAUGAUGUAAAUGCUGAAAUUAGUGAUGAAAGUUCGGAGGAAGAUGAACCUCCGAAAGAUGGUGAAAGUGAACCUAAUGAAGAUAUCGAUGAUAUUAGAGAUUUUUCUCAAAAUGGUGUAAAUCUUCAUAAUCUUGAUCAGGGCGUGUCUCAUGACAUACCCUAUUUCAGGACAUUAGAGAAUGAGGAAGACAUUUUCAUGUCUACAUGUGAAUCUGAGAUGGAAUGUUGUUGAGUUUGGUCUGAGCAAGCAAAAAAAGAUUUUAAAAAAGGUAUGCUUUUUAGUAGUAAAGAAAAGUUUAAAAUGGUUGUAACGAUUUUGGGCUUUCAAGCCAUGCAUUGAUGGAUUCCAAACAUGUCGCCCAGUUAUUUUAGUAGAUGGAACUCAUAUUUAUGGAAAAUAUGAGACCAAAUUUUUAAUUCCUGUUGGAAUUGAUGGAAAUGAUAACAUUCUCCCAUUAGCGUUUGCUAUUGUAGACAAAGAAUCAAAAGAGGCAUGGAAAUGGUUUAUUAGAAAUUGGAGUGCACAUGUGAUAAAAAGUAGACAAAAUGUAUGUGUUAUAUCUGAUAGGGCAAAAGGAAUCUUGACUAGUUUGCGGGAGCUGCGACGAUUUCAAGAGCCUCGAGUCUUUCAUCGAUUUUGCAUAAGACAUCUUAAGAGCAACUUUCAAUCUAAAUUUCUAAACAAGGACCUCAGCAGAUUGAUGUGGAGGGCUACUUCAGCCCAUCAAGUAAGAAAGUUUGAGUCCAUGAUUUGGCAAAUUAAAGAAGAAAAUAUCGAAGCACAUUAAUACCUCAUGGAAAUUCCCUUGGAUAAAUGGACUGUUAGCCAUGAUGAUGGAAAAAGAUGGGGAGUGUUGACAAUAAAUCUUUCAGAGUCAUUCAAUGGAGUGUUGAAAAAAGCACGAGGUUUGCCUGUCACUUCUAUGAUUAGACUUUCAUUGGAGCAAACUAUUGAACGGUAUACCCGUAGGUCUCAAAUAGCAGAGCAAAAUGAAUUAUGGACCAGGAGGUUCAAAAUAAAGUGGGAGAAGAAUUAUGAAAGUUCAAAGAGGCACUUUGUUUCUGAUUGGAAUAUACCCAUAGGAGUAUACGAGGUUAGAUCUAUACAAGUUGAUCGUACUGGUGGUAAUCCUCAUCGUGUUUCACUAAAUGAAAGAAAAUGUGAUUGUAGAAAAUGGGUUAAUCUGCACUUCCCGUGUUCACAUGUAAUGAAGGUAACUGAUAGAAUGGGAGGGCUAGCUAGAAAUUUUGUUAGCGGCAUUUCACAAUAGAGAAUUAUGUUGCAACAUAUUCUGGGUCAUUCUCACCAAUUGGCCAUGAGUCAUAUUAGCCAUCUCCAAGUUUUACAAUGAGAAGUAAUGAAUUCUAUCGUCGUCCUAAUCGUCCAAGGACAACUAGAAUACAUAAUGAAAUGGAUAGUAGUUUUACAGUGUAUGAGCGAGCUUGUGGAUUAUGCAGGCAGACAAUGUAUAGAUCUAACCUCGUAGCUCACUCAUAAUCCACAAGAUCGCUCAUACUUGAUGAAAUUUUGUGAAUAUUAUUUUUAAAAUGGACCACACAAGGAAAAUUUUUGCUGAAUUAUAUUUGAACAUGCAAAAUAUUACAACAACAUUUAUUUAUAGUCACUUUGGUCAGUUUGAAAAAUGGAGGAAUAUGACUUUAACAGAGUGUUGUAAUUGACAACAACGUUUCUAAGGUAAAAUGUCAUUGUGAGUAACAUUUUAUAGCUAAAUAUAUUCUAAAUUUGUAGAAGUCGAAGGCCCGUGAUUGGAUUCUUAAGAAACGGGACUCAAAGUAACAUUUUAGGUGUAAAACGUUACUCAUAGUAAUGUUUUACAGUUGAAUGAUUUGACUCCGCCUUUGCAGGAUUGGAGUCAGGGACCCGUGAUUGGAUUCUCCAAAACGUACUCUUGAGUAACCUUUUACACCUAAAACGUUACUCAAAGUUACGUUUAUGUUUUUAAAGUCGCCAACCUGUUAACUUUUUGUCCGUUGAAUUUUUAUAAUGAAAAUAUCCUAAAACGUUACCAUGAAGUACGUUUAUACUAGUUUUGUGAAAAAAAUUUAAAACAUAUUAUUUUGGUGAAUUGUUUUUAAAAAUAGCUCAUUUUGAUCAAAAAGUCUAAGUUCUAUCACAUGUAAGUAACAAACUCUUAAAUUUUGUUUUGUCAUUUCUGAAUUGAUCUUUGUUGAAUGCACCUUUAUUGUUCAUUUAUUAUUUGUGGAAAACAGAACAUUUGAUGUUGAUGGAAAGUUACAAGCAUUUGAUAUUGCUAAAAAAUAUUUAAUGAUUAUACGAAUAAAUUAUGAUCAAAUAUUUUAAUUUAAUGAUUGAAAUUAAAAUUAUAUCAUAUAAAUUGAACUAUAAUAUAAUUCUACUCUUUCAUCAUCCACACUUAUAUUUUCCUUUUCCUUUUGUUUGGGACUGAAACGACUAUUUAUGGGACUUGGCAGUACUUCUCUUUGUUGUUUAUCAAUUAUGAUUUAUGAGUUAGAUAGACUUCUCCAACUAUAUAAUAUAAGACCACAUAUUUCUAUGAUCAAGUUUGACUGCUAAAAGUGACACAAUGACUUUUAGACCUCUUUAUUUAUUACAUUAAAUCAUCUCCAAUUCUAUUCUAUUUUACUUUUCAUUCUUUAUAUUUGAAGAUUAAAUUAAUGAACAUACUCUUCAAUUAUUCUCUAUUUUAUCCUUUACCUUUUAAUUAUAGCGAAUUGAAUAGUAAUUCUCCAAAUUUGGAGCAUACUCUCUAUUUCACUUUUUGAAUAUUAUAUAUUUUUUGUAAUUAACAUAUUUUUUUUAUAUAAGACUAUUAAUUAAAUCUCUAAUAUAUGCAUUUAAAUUUAAUAUAACAACUUUGUGAUACAAUUUGAUUUUAUAUCAAUUUUCAUUAUGAAGAAUGCACAAAAUAUAAAUGAUAAGAUAAAAAAUUUAAUUUAUAAAUGUAAUCUAUAACAUAAUAAUUUAAAUACAAGAUAAUAAUAGAUACAAUGCAUAACAUAAUAAUUUAAAAAUCACAACAAUAAUUUAGUUAUCUGGUAAGUCGUUUCUAGAUUCAAUGAUAUUUGGAAAAAAAGUUAGUGUAUGAUUUAAAGAAGUUGUGAUUGUGAUUGCGAUUGUUUUUGUUUAUUUCUUUUUUCAAUUAUUCGUAGUUGCUCUUUAGAAAUUUAGAGUAAUAUCCAAUUUAAUAUCAAACAAAAAAAUUCAAAAAAUUAAAAUUUUAUGUUACAUGAAAUUAUAUUGGAUGAUUAUUCAUAAAAAAGAAAGAAAAAAUGUCACGACCCAAAAUCACGAGUCGUGAUGGCACCUAUAUUCCCAACCAAUAGGUAAGCCAACCAACAUAUUUUAACAAACUUAACUAACAAAGAAGUGAAAAGACAACAAUUUCCAAAUCUCCAACACUGAGUUCUUAUAAGUAAUAAGAAUGCGGAAAACUGAAAAAAAGUACUACCCAAGAAAUGGUGUCAUGAGUACAAGAGCUUCUAAAAUACGAUGUAAGUCUGAAACUAAAAAGGCAAAUCUAACAUAAGGGAUAUCCUGUCUGAAUACUGAAUAACAGAAUAAGUAAAAGAUAGAGGGAGGUGUGGGCCACGGAACAGCCAAGCAGCUCACCACAACUUCAAGACACUCCAAACUCGGACUCAAACUGCUCCUCGAGAUGUGCUCCUACUUGGAAUCGAAUCUGCACCACAAAGAGUGCAACAAGUGUAGUAUGAGUAUGAAACCACGUGUACUCAGUAUGUCUCAUUGACCGACCACGAAGAAGUAGUGACGGGAGUUUAUAUAAGAAAAUAAAUUCAUAAAUUAUACAAGUAUAUAUAUAUAUUUACACUCACUAUUUAAGUUUCGUCAAUAAAGGAAAUCAACAGUUAAUAUUUUCCAAACACCAAACGAAACAUAUAGUCAUCAAGAAUGAAUGAUGGGAUGAAAUGCAAUGCAAUAUGAUGCCCUGUAAUGAUAUGGCUCAGAAUACCCAGUACUCACUCAACCGUAUAUACAUGAUACUCCUCGGAAAUACAUCGAGAGUUCAUAACCCAUGGGGGACUCGCGAGGUCCAUAUACCGACACGGACGAUCUCCACGUGUCUGUGCAGACGAUCUCAACGCACAAUCAUAAUAUCAAACAAUUUUCGCACGGACGGUCACCACGUGCCCAAAUUACAAUGUUAACAUCUCACCAUCCCCAGCACGGACGAUCUCCAUGUGCUCAACUUAUACUCAGUCUCAUGUCUAUGCAUGUGCACAAUAUUAUUUCAAUAGAGGGGAUGAUGAUGCAUCUCAAUCAAUCAAUAUGAACGUAUACAUAACCACCUCAAUUUUCACAACUAUACGGGUGAAAUAAAUAAAACACAAUCACACAAGGAAUUCAAGUCAAUAAUAUAUCAGUUAAUGCCCAUAUGCUUUGGCAUUCUCAAAUUUCAAUCCACAUUCUAAAAUAGUAAUUUUCCUUUUUAUAACACCGGUACUCGUACCAAUGCCCGUCACACCAUUGAUACGAGACCACCAUCCUUCCUCCUUACCCCUUUGUCUAUUUUCAUUUUUUUAAUCUUUAAUUAGAAAAACGUCCUUCAACAAGUCU
RNAcentral lists this long non-coding RNA (7659 nucleotides) under Solanum lycopersicum (tomato). RNAcentral describes it as "long non-coding RNA (SLYC_LNC000804)". The record is from RNAcentral. Lineage: Eukaryota; Viridiplantae; Streptophyta; Magnoliopsida; Solanales; Solanaceae.